RNAcentral lists this ribosomal RNA (404 nucleotides) under uncultured prokaryote. Its description in RNAcentral is "bacterial SSU rRNA". It matches the Rfam family "Bacterial small subunit ribosomal RNA", at positions 355 to 776 of the family's 1533-position model. RNAcentral also lists the same sequence under 1 other name. The record is from RNAcentral.
UGGGGAAUAUUGCACAAUGGGGGAAACCCUGAUGCAGCAACGCCGCGUGAGUGAUGAAGGCCUUCGGGUUGUAAAGCUCUGUCUUUGGGGACGAUAAUGACGGUACCCAAGGAGGAAGCCACGGCUAACUACGUGCCAGCAGCCGCGGUAAUACGUAGGUGGCAAGCGUUGUCCGGAUUUACUGGGCGUAAAGGAUGCGUAGGCGGAUAUUUAAGUGAGAUGUGAAAUACCCGGGCUCAACUUGGGUGCUGCAUUUCAAACUGGAUAUCUAGAGUGCAGGAGAGGAAAGUGGAAUUCCUAGUGUAGCGGUGAAAUGCGUAGAGAUUAGGAAGAACAUCAGUGGCGAAGGCGACUUUCUGGACUGUAACUGACGCUGAGGCAUGAAAGCGUGGGGAGCAAACAGG